GGGAAAGUGGCUCAGUGGUAGAGUGCUUGCCUUGUAUGCAUGAGGCCCUGGGUCCAAUUCCUCAGUGCCA
RNAcentral lists this transfer RNA (70 nucleotides) under Dipodomys ordii (Ord's kangaroo rat). It matches the Rfam family "tRNA". From Rfam's summary of the family: Transfer RNA (tRNA) molecules are approximately 80 nucleotides in length. The record is from Rfam by way of RNAcentral. Lineage: Eukaryota; Metazoa; Chordata; Mammalia; Rodentia; Heteromyidae.